UAUUUCAGGUAAUCCAGCCAACUUUUGUUUCAUAUUGUGCAACACACACACACACAGAGGAAACCAGUGAACAUCCUGCUGUAAAAAAGAAGAAAAUGUAACAUAUAUAGGCCAUAUGUUCUAGUUUGUUGCACCUAGUCUACUAGAUAUAUCUAUAAUGCACUAAUGUUUUAGUUCAAAAGGCAAACAAUGGCUAAAAAAGAGAGACAAAGUAGCAGAUUGCUUAUUGGUGAUCACUUCUUCUGUGCAAAAUUUGUUUGUUAGAAGCUCAUCCAUCCAGCUCCUGGUUGGUAGACAAAAACAAAACAAAAAGAAGAUGUGUUACUGCUUGUAAGAUUGUUGAUGCAUAAAAAACAAAAACUUCAUGAGAAAACAUGGGACCCCAUGUUGUAUGUCAUCUUGGUCAAAAUUGGCAGAAUACCCUAUCUGGAACUAUGGAAAAACAUAAAAAAUGUAUGUGGCGGCAAACCUGACAACAUAUUGGAACUAGAUAGAUUUGUGGUGUGCAACUUAUGGUUUUCUUCUGUGCAACUUAAAAAAGAAUUGUGCAACUGACAGAACUAGUUUGGAUGUUUGACUUGAAUAAAAAUACUUUCAGAUUUGUGUCUAUUGUGUGCCAGCUGGAAUAGAACUUGUGUGAAAAGCUUGAAUACAGAAGAAGAAGAAAUGUAAUACAACAGCAAAAAAAAACAUCAUGUGUUUUAUUUGUGCAAUCUGUGGGUGCAUCUGUGCAACUGAUUAGACCCAUGUGUGCAACUGAGAGAAUUUAUUUGGAUGUUUAGUUUGAUAGAAAAGGUGCUGCCAAAAUUUGAUUUGUUUAUUUCAAACUCAUGCUGAUUUGUUUGUUUGUUCCCUCUUCCACUACCUUUGAGAGAAAAAUGUAUAAGCCUUUGUGCAACUACCAUGGGUUGUUGUGCCAGACUGGUAUGCCUAGUUGUAAAACUGCCAGAACAAACAUGUGCAAGUUAAAAAAGGAGAUGUAUUCAAAAACAAAAGAAGGGGAGCAAAAAGGUCUACUCACUUGUAGCUUGACAAACACACCAUACCCCUUCAAGUCCAUCUUAAUGACUGUGACGAUUAGAUUGCUAUUCCAUGACAUUGGUUGGAUGGGGAAAAUUACUUACACACACCUCUAACUGACAUAAUUAAGAAAAGAAAUUUGUUAGGUCUGUCUAAUUGAAAUAGUGAAUUUUAAAAGAUGAUAGCUAAUAUCAGGUUCAUGUGCAACUAUGCCUUAUAUGGAUGCCAACUACUAUAAGGUUCAUGUGCAACUACAAACUGUAGGGAUGCCAACUUGAAUCAGUUUCGUGUAUGAAAGAAACUUGCAUGAUAUAUGGAGCCAACUACUAUGAGGUUCGUGUGCAAUUACAACCGCUAGAGAUACCAACAAAAUAUGUGAAUAUGGAAAAACAAGAUAAUUAAACUGCCAACUAAGUAUGGCCGUAUUGUGCAACUUCCUCAUACUCUUAACCAAGUAGGGAUGCUACAAUGGCCACUAGUACUACAAAAAUGACUAAAUUGGAUAAACUGCAGGAACUGAAAUUGAAUGUCAUGCCUCUCUCUUGGAUGCCCUGCUGUUUCAAGCACUAGUUAUGCAAGCCUACUACUAAUGCAAAAUCAUGUACAGAAAAAAUCGAAAAAGAAAUUGAAAUAUUGGCAACGGCUUGUGUGAAUUACCCAUAAACAACCUCUGGUAUGCAACUUCUACAUAAUUUAACUACGAUCACUAGAGGAAUUUAGUUACAGCCACGAAAAACGAGAACCAAAUCAUGUAGCAUCAGCAAAAUGCAAAAAAUCAUCAUCGGCAGCAGGCGUAUCAUAUAAUCGGCAAAAUGUCAUUGAUUAUUCAGUUAACAAUGAGAGCAAACCAACUGAGCAUCCGUGUGGUAUGCUACUACAAAAACAGUGUGUGCAAUUUGACAGCAAUGCAAGCCAACUGAGCAUACAUGUAUGUGCAAAAAAUACACCCCAUACUGAACAUGCUUUGGGCAGUGUAGUCGACUACCUGAAGGUUCCUGUGCAACUAAAGAACCUGACUAGCCAACUAUGUACUCCUCUGCGUGCAACUUCACCGGACCCGUCUAAAAAACAACUAAAAUUGGACAACUUAUGCAAUGCAGUCAAUCCCCUGACAACUAGCACUUCACCGGAGUCCCGUGCAAACACAGAAAUGGAACAUCGCCCACCCCCGGUGACUCACUCCUGCAGCAACCCCGAGCAGCCGUUGUUGCCGCGCGUGGUUCCUCACUGUCAUCGCCACGCGCGGCAGCAACUUUCCAUCCUCCCGUCGCCCCCUCUGCAUCCUAUCAUAGCGCCCGACAACAGCUCUGCAUCCUCAUGCCGCGCCAACUUAUCAUAUGUGUGUGCAACUAGUCCUGCCAACUAAACAUCAAUGUGUGUGCAACUAGACUACAUUGCAGGCCAACUGAGCAUAUGUGUGUGUGCAACUAAUCCUGCCAACUAAACUGUGUGUGCAACUAGACUACAUUGCAGGCCAACUGAGCAUAUGUGUGUGCAACUAGUACUGCCAACUAAACAUCAAUGUGUAUCAAACUAGAAUACAUUGCAUGCCAAUUGAGAAUAUGUGUGUGCAACCAGUCCUGCCAGUUAAUCAUCAAUGUGUGUCUAGACUACAUUGCAGGCCAACUGAGCAUAUGUGCGUGCAACUAGUCCUACCAACUAAACAUCAAUGCAUGUGCAACUAGACUACAUUGCAGGCAAACUGAGUAUAUGUGUCUGCAAAAACACCUAGAGUGCAUGAACAUGCUUUUAUGCAAUGCAUUCAACUUCCCUACCGUUUUUGUGCAACUACAUAAUCUAACUAGCCAACUACGUAAUGCUCUCCGUGCAGCUACCCAGAUCUGUCGAGGAAACACAUAGGGCGCACCACCACCUAGAAUCUCGUCAUGUAGUCCCGACGCAACACACGCCGGGACCGAAGCAAGAAACCCAUCCCUAUGCCCCACCUACCCACCACAUCCACCGCGACUAGAACCUUGUCGGAAACCGCAGCUGCAGACGCGAAACGCCAAGAUGUGAAACCACAAAACCCGGACCACCACCCCUGAAUCAUCUCCUUCCCAUUCAUCUUUGAUUUUCCUUGCUACAGCAAAUCAAUACUUUUUGAGAAAAAAAAAGAACUCUGAACUUUCAAAUAGAUAUGCUUCUAAACUCAUCUUUGAGACAACAUUCAGGAUAAAUUGAUGCGGGAUACUGUUAUGUCCCAAUUCGACAAUUCCUAAACAAACUGAUAAUCAUAAUUGUCUAUCUACUAUUGCCUACGAAAAAUGCCCCAGUGAUUCAAACACAGUGUCCAUAAUUGCCUCUCAAUCCUUUCUACAAUUCCCAGUACAUGGCCGAACUGCCCAACAAAUUUGAUGGGGAAAAAUUUCUCUUGUGUACCAAUCCCCCUUGCUCUCCCACGUCUUCUCCACACCUCCCCGCUGAAUCAUCUCCCGGACAACGGAAGCAACACACAUGGCUACAUCGAUACUCAAGUGAAGGAGAGAACCACAUGAACAAGUAGUUCGAAAGGGGGCAAACCUUGCGACUUCCAGUCUUGCACGCUGCCGAUGCACAAUCAGUUAUCUCCCGCACCACGCGGAGUCGCCUCUCACACGCCGCGGUCGCACAAGCUCGCGUCGCACCACCGCCUCCUGCUACAUGAGGGUCGCGUGAGCUGUCAAUGUCAAGCGACUUAUCUCCCUCACCAUGGGGGCGCCCUUCGACAGCGAGCGAAGUCCUGCUCCUCCCUCGCCGUGCUUGCAGAUGCUGAGCCGCUCAGCUCUGUUAGCUCGCCGGAUCCAAGAUCCACUGUCGCCGGCACCACGCCGCCGCGCCGACCCGUGUCGCUGUGGACGGAUGGGGAGAAGGGAUAAGAGAGGGGUGUGUGUGUGGGACAAAUCUUCAGAAGGGUGGGGAAUGGACGCCGACCACGAAACGACAGAAAUCUACUAGUCGGUGCGCAUCGCAUCAAAAUCCUACGGCUCACGGCCGGCCGGUCGAUGACGCGAAAUAGUGCGCGUGCAUUUUUUUAGAAUUUAGGAAACAAAAAACAACUAAGCAAACUUGCCUUCGCAGGAAGGAGUGUCCAGCUGAGUCACCUGUGUAAGUGCUCCGACGAAAAGAACUCGACAAAUACGUCGGCAAGAUGAUUUUUCUCGUUGCGUAGUGCCGCUGGCACUAGGCAAUGAUGGUGACUCCGGCAGUGUCGCAACUUCACUGUCUUAUAU
This 4232-nucleotide long non-coding RNA is filed under the name Triticum aestivum (bread wheat). RNAcentral's name for it is "long non-coding RNA (TAES_LNC023765)". Lineage: Eukaryota; Viridiplantae; Streptophyta; Magnoliopsida; Poales; Poaceae. The record is from RNAcentral.